Molecule: ribosomal RNA, 463 nt
Filed under: uncultured bacterium
Lineage: Bacteria
Description: partial 16S ribosomal RNA
Rfam family: Bacterial small subunit ribosomal RNA
Source: RNAcentral
GGCGAACGCUGGCGGCGUGCUUAACACAUGCAAGUCGAACGGUAAGGCCCUUUCGGGGGUACACGAGUGGCGAACGGGUGAGUAACACGUGGGUGAUCUGCCCUGCACUUUGGGAUAAGCCUGGGAAACUGGGUCUAAUACCGGCUAGGACUACGCGAUGCAUGUCGUGUGGUGGAAAGCUUUUGCGGUGUGGGAUGGGCCCGCGGCCUAUCAGCUUGUUGGUGGGGUGAUGGCCUACCAAGGCGACGACGGGUAGCCGGCCUGAGAGGGUGUCCGGCCAAAGGGGGAUUAGGGAAGGGCCCGACCUCCAAGGGGGGGCAGGGGGGGGAAAAAUUGCAAAAGGGGCCGAAGGCUGGGGGAGGGACGCCGGGUGGGGGAGGACGGCCUGGGGGGUGGAAACCCCUUAAGGAAAAAACGAGGCGUAAGGGAGGGUAUGGGAAAAAAAAAACCGGGCAAAUUAGUG